This is a long non-coding RNA of Xiphias gladius (swordfish), 353 nucleotides long. RefSeq lists it as uncharacterized. NCBI's taxonomy places the organism in Eukaryota, Metazoa, Chordata, Actinopteri, Istiophoriformes, Xiphiidae. The transcript has 3 exons. The record is from RefSeq and is a predicted model, not a curated record.
UAGGUCUCCUCAUUCAUGCUGCAGAGGUAUGUAGCCUGAAACUUUGCUUCAGGAAGAAGCUACUUAAUGAGUUCAUGGUAACUGAGUGCGCUGGUUUAGCUUCUUUGUCAGGGUUUUCUGCUGAAGCUUCCUGGUUGUACCCCAUUUCAUACCACGGUGGUGAUUGACAGUUGGAGGUGGUAACACGUUAAGAAGCUUAGUAAUGCAGCUGCAAAAGCAAAGAGGAGGACUGCUGCUUCCUGACACCCGAGUUGGCAAGACUGUGAGGGACACGAUUUGCGACAACCACUUUAACUAAGUUCAACAUCACUCCAGCAAGCAAUUUUUUUUUUUUUUUCAUUUGUUUUUUCCGU